Molecule: long non-coding RNA, 757 nt
Filed under: Phasianus colchicus (ring-necked pheasant)
Lineage: Eukaryota; Metazoa; Chordata; Aves; Galliformes; Phasianidae
Description: lncRNA (ENSPCLG00000001865.1)
Source: RNAcentral
CGGCCGUAGCGCAGCCCGCGCCCGGCGGCGGCGGCGGCGGAGCGAGCGCGCACACGUGACGCGGCGCUCGGUGCUUCUACACUGCCGCGCAGACACACGCACGCACACACUCACACACACGCACACCCGGCGCUGCCCUCGGCUCCUCCGGCCGCGUUCGCCGCCUCCCGCUCCCGUCCGCACGCGUCCCCCGGCCGCCGCCAGGGCGAAGCGCGCUCCGCGGCGGCAGCACCGGCACCGGCGGCGGCGACCGCGCGAAGAGGCGGCGAGAGUUCGCGUGCACCGGCUGCUGCGUGCCCGCCCGGCGAGCGGUGCGCCCGGAGGAUGGCCGGCUGCGGGCUGUCGGAAGACGCGUUCUUCUCCUCCUUCUUUUACAACUACACCGCCUCCUGGGAGACCUCCUACAACCAGGUGAAGUAAUUAUGGACGAAAAAAAGGCCGAUAAAAUGGAACUAGUGUAACUUGCAGUUCAGGGUACUGUGUUCAGUAUUAAAACCUUUUCCUGAGACCAGAAUGCUGAUGAAGCUUGAGCCUUGUGGAGUCUGCUGUAGGAAAGUGGGUAGAGAGUGGAUUAUUGUACAUCAGUGUUCUCAGAGAACCAUAAUCUGCCUGAUGGGUAACAUGCAUGUUGUACUCUUGCGUUGCCCGCUUACAGCCAGUGGGGUCUUUCUGGUGAGAUGUGCUGUUCUAGUAGCAGUAGCAUUAGGAUAUCUUGUGCCCUUUCAGUAUAAAUAAAGGUUGUCCUAACAGCUGCUCA